Molecule: ribosomal RNA, 207 nt
Filed under: uncultured bacterium
Lineage: Bacteria
Description: partial 16S ribosomal RNA
Rfam family: Bacterial small subunit ribosomal RNA
Source: RNAcentral
UCCGUAGGCGGGCUAUUAAGUCAGGGGUGAAAGUUUGCGGCUCAACCGUAAAAUUGCCUCUGAUACUGAUAGUCUUGAAUUAGUGUGAAGUGGUUAGAAUGAGUAGUGUAGCGGUGAAAUGCAUAGAGAUUACUCAGAAUACCGAUUGCGAAGGCAGAUCACUAACACUAUAUUGACGCUGAGGGACGAAAGCGUGGGGAGCGAACA